Molecule: long non-coding RNA, 212 nt
Organism: Solea senegalensis (Senegalese sole)
Lineage: Eukaryota; Metazoa; Chordata; Actinopteri; Pleuronectiformes; Soleidae
Exons: 3
Source: RefSeq, a predicted model, not a curated record
AGCAAAACACACACAGUGAAGACAGUAGACUGUGUGGCCUGGAUCUUAUUACUGAACUACAGGUAGACCACUGUUCUCACAGGGCUGGUGCAGAUGUGACUGGUCUCAUGUUGGAGAAGCAGCGAGCAGGGUAAGAACUGUGGGUACUGGUCAUCUGCGUCCACGAUCUGGAUGGAGACGUUGGCGGUGGUCUCGUAACUCUCUGCUGUGUU